Molecule: ribosomal RNA, 503 nt
Filed under: uncultured bacterium
Lineage: Bacteria
Description: bacterial SSU rRNA
Rfam family: Bacterial small subunit ribosomal RNA
Source: RNAcentral
AACGAACGCUGGCGGCGUGCCUAACACAUGCAAGUCGAACGAGAAAGCUACCCUUCGGGGGGUGAGUAAAGUGGCAGACGGGUGAGUAACACGUGGGCAACCUGCCCCGAGUGGGGGAUAACCCUCCGAAAGAGGGCUAAUACCGCAUGACAUCCCAUGGCCGAUGGGCCAGGGAUCAAAGCAGGCCUCUUCUUGAAAGCUUGCGCCACGGGAUGGGCCCGCGCCCCAUUAGCUUGUUGGUGAGGUAACGGCUCACCAAGGCGACGAUGGGUAGCCGGCCUGAGAGGGCGAUCGGCCACACUGGAACUGAGACACGGUCCAGACUCCUACGGGAGGCAGCAGUGAGGAAUUUUGCGCAAUGGGCGAAAGCCUGACGCAGCGACGCCGCGUGGAGGACGAAGGCCUUCGGGUCGUAAACUCCUGUCAAGAGGGACGAAUGUCAGGUGGAUGAAUAAGCCUCCUGGCUGACGGUACCUCUGGAGGAAGCCCCGGCUAACUCCGUG